RNAcentral lists this ribosomal RNA (292 nucleotides) under uncultured bacterium. RNAcentral's name for it is "partial 16S ribosomal RNA". It matches the Rfam family "Bacterial small subunit ribosomal RNA", at positions 505 to 796 of the family's 1533-position model. The record is from RNAcentral.
GUGCCAGCCGCCGCGGUAAUACGGAGGGUGCGAGCGUUAAUCGGAAUUACUGGGCGUAAAGCGCAUGCAGGUGGUUUGUUAAGUCAGAUGUGAAAGCCCGGGGCUCAACCUCGGAAUAGCAAUUGAAACUGGCAGACUAGAGUACGGUAGAGGGGGGUAGAAUUUCAGGUGUAGCGGUGAAAUGCGUAGAGAUCUGAAGGAAUACCGGUGGCGAAGGCGGCCCCCUGGACAGAUACUGACACUCAGAUGCGAAAGCGGGGGGAGCAAACAGGAUUAGAAACCCUAGUAGUCC